CUGCAACACAGCUGUACUUAUUCUUGUACUAUCAAUGGGAAUAUGGCACAGAGGCAUGGAAAGGCAGUUGUGGUUAAGGGGAUGGACUGGAAGCUGGGACUUCACAUGGCAGUUACAGUUGGGAUGAGUGGAGAGUAACUGAAAUUAAACGUGGAGGGGCUUUACCAAGGAAAUCAUCAGCCUGCUGUUAGACAGAGGUGGGCUAGGAGAUGUCAGCCCAGAGUUACAGUUGCAUCUUGCUCCGGCUGCCAAAGACAGGAGCAGUUAGGGCAGUUGGGGAUGGGUGCAAAGAUGCCCCAGGUUGCCACUGGCGACACCGUUAUGAAGUCACUCCAGGGUUCCGGCCGUGGCAACGAGCCCACCAAGAGCAACAAACGCCUCUGCGCAGUGCUCCUGCUCUUGCCAGGCUCUGCAAGUUGACAGAGCUGACCAACAGCCGGCUUUGCUGCUGCCGAGAGUGGCAGACAGCCUGCAGGGCACAAGGAACAAGAGGCAUCUCGAAACAGAGGCUUUGGGAAAGCCGUCCGUUGGGCGAUGUUUGCCUGGAGGGCAGAAGACUUCUCAGCCCAGCCAAGGGCACAGAGAGCCAUCCCCCAGCCUGUGCCAGCCUUCCAGCUGCAAGAGACUGCUCACGGCACUGAUGGC
RNAcentral lists this long non-coding RNA (645 nucleotides) under Gallus gallus (chicken). RNAcentral describes it as "lncRNA (ENSGALG00010030060.1)". The record is from RNAcentral. Lineage: Eukaryota; Metazoa; Chordata; Aves; Galliformes; Phasianidae.